GCAGUAACGAAUAUUCCGCAAUGCGCGAAAGCGUGACGGAGCAAUGCCGCGUGCAGGAUGAAGCGGUUCUGCCGUGUAAACUGCUGUCAGAAUCUAGGAAGAACUGACCAGAUUCAGAGGAAGGGCCGGCUAAUCUCGUGCCAGCAGCCGCGGUAAGACGAGAGGCCCGAGCGUUAAUCGGAAUCACUGGGCUUAAAGGGUGCGUAGGCUGAUAUGUAGGUGUGUUGUGAAAUCCCUCGGCUCAACCGAGGAACUGCAAUGCAAACCACAUAUCUUG
RNAcentral lists this ribosomal RNA (277 nucleotides) under Symbiodinium sp. clade D. Its description in RNAcentral is "partial Bacterial small subunit ribosomal RNA". It matches the Rfam family "Bacterial small subunit ribosomal RNA", at positions 351 to 644 of the family's 1533-position model. The record is from RNAcentral. Lineage: Eukaryota; Dinophyceae; Suessiales; Symbiodiniaceae.